Schistocerca serialis cubense is the source of this 2931-nucleotide long non-coding RNA. RefSeq lists it as uncharacterized. The record is from RefSeq and is a predicted model, not a curated record. NCBI's taxonomy places the organism in Eukaryota, Metazoa, Arthropoda, Insecta, Orthoptera, Acrididae. The transcript is spliced from 5 exons.
AUGGCAUUAUUAGCAACCAGAACUGUGAGAUACGUGAGCAUGUCAAGCAAACGUUCUUAGCCACUAUAUCACUAGUUGAUGGGCAUGUUCGCACCAACUCUUAAGUCAACAACUUCGUUCGUGGGAGAGAACUUGCUACAACUCCGGGUGAUAAUCGUAAUUUCAGACAACAAUGAAUUCUAAAACUGCGACCUCUAACAUAAUUUAGUUUACAGUAGGACAGGUCUACUGAAAUGUCAAUAUCGACAACUUAAAGUUGUCUAUGUUUUUUGUAUUUUUCCCCCCGCCCGUAGCACUGUAGAAAUGGAUCAUAAGUUAAAGAAGGGAAAGGUAGAGAAACAUGGCGUAUUCGGCAACGUGAUUUUCGUGAGUAUGGUAGCUGACUUCGUAAAUUACUUUUUAUAGUGCUUUUCCCUUGUGAAGAAACUCGUAGGAAACUUCGAGAUGUACACGACAAAUGCAGUGUUGUUAAAACUAUGAACGAUUUGUUUAUUUUAGUAGCAUAUAGGAAAGAACAACAGCACUGAAAACAGUCAUCAGUUCACGAAGUAGUGGAUGGGAAAGGGCAACAGCACUGAAAUUAGGUUCAUCAUGACCCAAGGGGUGUAUCUGUUCGAGGCUGCAGUUUACAGAGCCAAGGUUGACAAAUAGAUCAUCCAAGAAGCUUAUCUCGUACUUUACGGAGCAUUCAUGAGGUACCGUCAGUCACCCAGCAGCAUCGAAUGCUGAUAUGCGUAUUGGGUCAUUUGCACGUUUCGUGAUUCAUCACUGACGCUCUCAUCUCGUCUACACUGUUUUCUCACGUCUUCGACGUCUGAUAUCUUUAGAAAGUACCGCGCGUGUUGUGUUCACUUUGUGGUGCUGCUCAUUGUCGCGUGUUUCUGGGUCUUCAGCCGUGAGCUGUUUACAUUCUUCAUAAUUUUCCUCCAACUUGAGUGACUUGAAUUUCUAAUCUCAGUCAUAUUGCCUCCCUAGUGGUGUGAGCUAGCGGUUAUGUAUCUGGGACAGACUCUAGGUUCUGUAAUAUUCAUGGAAUGUGUCUUGACAUUCGCUAUCCGUUAUAGACUCCUGAAAUCAUCUUCGAAAAUGCAUCAACAAAUUUAUUAUGCUAAUAGUGUCAUUAGGAAUUAGAUCUCGAUGCGAAGUCAUUGUUCCUUUUGAUACCUCCGCUGGGGCAUCCUGUUACUUGAAAUGGCAAACAGAAAAUAUGGGCAUCGAUUCCGGGCAACCAGUAGAAUUUUAUUUUGGCAGAGACACGCAGUGGAAGAUAAUAUAUUACUAGCAAACAAAUUCAGUCGUCUGUUUGUAAAAAUGGGUUGUUGUGACCUAUACGUCUUGACAGACUCUUCGCGUUUGCUGCCGGAUCCUGAAAUCAAACAGUUUGUCAACAAGUGGCCACGAAAGCCUUAACAAUUUCUAUUUUCAAUAUUUCGGCGAUCCAACUGUUCUCCAUCUUCAGGAGAACGCUGCUUCUGUUGCUGAGUCCCGCUGAGCACUGUUCUGUCUCAGCAGCGUUCUCCUGAAGAUGGCAAACAGUUGGAUCGCCAAAAUAUUGAAUAGAUUUCAGGAUCCGGUAGCAAACCUGAAGAAACUUUCAAGGCUUAUUACGCCCGGAAAGACUACUAAUUUCGCAGGGAAAGUACUAUAACCAUGGAACUACGCUUUUGUUGAGGAGGCUCUUAGAUAAAAUCGCAGAAUCCUGAAAGUGGUGUUUUCAUUCCGAAAUAAACAUAGGUCUGACAAACCAAUAUUACGAACGUUUGACGAUUGUUGCUGAUAACUUAAAAGAACAUAUGAUUUUUGGUGCCAUACCUGUUCACGUGUUAGGAACGACAUCGCCCGUAAAAAUUUGAAAAGGCUGCGCAAACAAUCUCUUACAAGAGCAGAAUCCAGCUGCCUGGUUCGACUUCUUAUAGCGGUCUGUUCCACAGUUUAACAGCUGUGCAGCUGUGGCUUCUCCCAUCUGUUUCCUAGGGUUAUGAUUAGAGCUUCGCCACCAGUGACGAUAUCAUUAUAUGGUGGAAGGUGUACCAGCGUCGAUUUUGGAUGUUGUACGCCAAUAAUAAUUGCGAUUUUAACAGUUUCUGAUGUUAAUGAUGAAAGAGACUUAAAAAGUGGGAGACGAGCGAACUCUAAAAUGAAUGAAGCAUGCAUGAGUCACAAAACUGAUCGCCACCAGCUUACUGAUUUUCCAGAAACAGUUUUAUAUACUCAACUAAGUGUGGUAUGGAAUAAAACACUGGAUUUGGAAGUAGUACUACGAGAACAUGAACGGGGCUAUCCAAGAAGAAAUUGACCCAUUUCUUAUUUUUGUCAAUUAGCAAAUUUAAGUGCGUGAACUACCUGAUGUGGCACUAGCUGAAAUGUUGGACCAAGACACAGGUGUUCGAGAUUCUGUUGUCCGCAGCACCACAGCAGCAGCAUCCCACAGUCGACAUAACCGAUUUGUCGGAUCUGCUUUUCAAAUACCCUGUGCCACAGUCGGCGUCUGCAUCUCAGGAGCAGCAGCUGUUGGAGUUUACUCAACCUGCAGUUAAGUGGUUGCAGAAUACUGUUCUUUGCCAAUACUUACAACGCGACUUCCAGAGGAUCGAAAAGGCCUAGCACUGGACGGCGAUUUAGAUGUAAUAAUUGAAAUUGAGAAUGUUCAGCGCUUGGUGCUAAAGUGCAGUAUGCAUGGUAUAAGUGGGACUAUCUGUGUAGCAUAUUGGAAUACAUUAAAAAGAAAAUGACUACCGACUAUGACCUAUCACAUAUUCCUAAUGAUGUCGGUAAGUUUGGCAGGAAAGCGUCCAAUGUCUAUGUAUGGACAAGCAAAGAUGGAAUUAACUUAUGGACACUCAUGCAUUUACAUUAAUCAUUCGAGUGUUGUGAACUUAAUGUGGUACAGAGCGAUUUCAAGGCAUACAGAAAACAAUUGUUUGCGAAAUA